AUAAAAUGUGGCCAAAGACCUAUAAAACAAAUGGACCAAGGUGUUUCCCUUGUUUAGAAGUGAUGGCAUGGUGUUCCUCAGCCCUAGUUACACCCUGUGGUUCCACCAUUGGCCUGCUGUAGCUCCUAAGAAGC
This is a long non-coding RNA of Bufo bufo (common toad), 134 nucleotides long. RefSeq lists it as uncharacterized. The record is from RefSeq and is a predicted model, not a curated record. Lineage: Eukaryota; Metazoa; Chordata; Amphibia; Anura; Bufonidae. The transcript is spliced from 3 exons.